ACGGUGCUGAAGUAACAAAUGCCCUGCUUCCAGGAAAAGCCUCUAAGCAUCAGGUAACAUCAAAUCGUACCCCAAACCGACACAGGUGGUCAGGUAGAGAAUACCAAGGCGCUUGAGAGAACUCGGGUGAAGGAACUAGGCAAAAUGGUGCCGUAACUUCGGGAGAAGGCACGCUGGUGUGUAGGUGAAGUCCCUGCGGAUGGAGCUGAGACCAGUCGAAGAUACCAGCUGGCUGCAACUGUUUAUUAAAAACACAGCACUGUGCAAACACGAAAGUGGACGUAUACGGUGUGACGCCUGCCCGGUGCCGGAAGGUUAAUUGAUGGGGUUAUCCGUAAGGAGAAGCUCUUGAUCGAAGCCCCGGUAAACGGCGGCCGUAACUAUAACGGUCCUAAGGUAGCGAAAUUCCUUGUCGGGUAAGUUCCGACCUGCACGAAUGGCGUAAUGAUGGCCAGGCUGUCUCCACCCGAGACUCAGUGAAAUUGAACUCGCUGUGAAGAUGCAGUGUACCCGCGGCAAGACGGAAAGACCCCGUGAACCUUUACUAUAGCUUGACACUGAACAUUGAGCCUUGAUGUGUAGGAUAGGUGGGAGGCUUUGAAGCGUGGACGCCAGUCUGCGUGGAGCCAACCUUGAAAUACCACCCUUUAAUGUUUGAUGUUCUAACGUUGGCCCCUUACCGGGGUUGCGGACAGUGUCUGGUGGGUAGUUUGACUGGGGCGGUCUCCUCCCAAAGCGUAACGGAGGAGCACGAAGGUUAGCUAAUCCUGGUCGGACAUCAGGAGGUUAGUGCAAUGGCAUAAGCUAGCUUGACUGCGAGCGUGACGGCGCGAGCAGGUGCGAAAGCAGGUCAUAGUGAUCCGGUGGUUCUGAAUGGAAGGGCCAUCGCUCAACGGAUAAAAGGUACUCCGGGGAUAACAGGCUGAUACCGCCCAAGAGUUCAUAUCGACGGCGGUGUUUGGCACCUCGAUGUCGGCUCAUCACAUCCUGGGGCUGAAGUAGGUCCCAAGGGUAUGGCUGUUCGCCAUUUAAAGUGGUACGCGAGCUGGGUUUAGAACGUCGUGAGACAGUUCGGUCCCUAUCUGCCGUGGGCGCUGGAGAAUUGAGGGGGGCUGCUCCUAGUACGAGAGGACCGGAGUGGACGCAUCACUGGUGUUCGGGUUGUCAUGCCAAUGGCACUGCCCGGUAGCUAAAUGCGGAAGAGAUAAGUGCUGAAAGCAUCUAAGCACGAAACUUGCCCCGAGAUGAGUUCUCCCUGAGACUUUAAGUCUCCUGAAGGAACGUUAAAGACGAUGACGUUGAUAGGCCGGGUGUGUAAGCGCAGCGAUGCGUUGAGCUAACCGGUACUAAUGAACCGUGAGGCUUAACCUUACAACGCCGAAG
RNAcentral lists this ribosomal RNA (1383 nucleotides) under Klebsiella pneumoniae. RNAcentral's name for it is "bacterial LSU rRNA". It matches the Rfam family "Bacterial large subunit ribosomal RNA", at positions 1579 to 2925 of the family's 2925-position model. The record is from RNAcentral. Lineage: Bacteria; Pseudomonadati; Pseudomonadota; Gammaproteobacteria; Enterobacterales; Enterobacteriaceae.